RNAcentral lists this long non-coding RNA (930 nucleotides) under Sorghum bicolor (sorghum). RNAcentral's name for it is "long non-coding RNA (SBIC_LNC010493)". Lineage: Eukaryota; Viridiplantae; Streptophyta; Magnoliopsida; Poales; Poaceae. The record is from RNAcentral.
GCCAUAACUUUCGCAUACGAACUCCGAUUUUGACGUUCCAUAUAUCAAAAUCGAUCAGAAAUUUUUUUUGGGUCUGUCUAUGCCCGCCUUUGGCGGGUUCGACAAAUUUAGAAUCCCCAAAUUCGCCUCUGAAGUUUGAGUGUUCGCCUCCUAAAAUUUUCUUUAUAUUUUUCGCAAUCUUCAAAAGUUUCCACAGGCCACGUCUUUCUCUUGUUCAAGCUUAAAUACCCUGUGGUUACUUCUUGAGUGCUCCUAAGUAAAAGAAAAAUAUCAAAAAAAAAAUAAAAAGAAUUGCAGGUUUCGAACCGUGUUGUUCGCAAGCUGCAUUGAUUUGUGUCUCUUUUCCACCAAAUCGAUAGUUACCAGAAACUUUCGCAAGAUCGGGCCACACUUAUUCUCCAUAAGUGGUAAUCAAAGCUUCAGACAUAACGUUAGGUUCACAUCUACCUUCAGUUUCGAGUGUCCUUGUGUUCGUCCCAUAAGUCUGGUGCCAUAUUGUUUUCAUGUCCUACAAUCCAUCCGCGCCAUAGCCUUUGCAUAUUUCAGUUUCAGAGUCCGUAGUGUUGAGUUUGUGUCCUGGUCGAGGUCUUGUUACUGGUUAAGUCUUGUUAGAGUCCAAUUUGUGUGUUUCUUCCCACCGUUUCCAUCAAUUUAUAGCCACCGCCACAAAUUUUCCCACUUCCGGACUGUUUUGUCCUCAAAUUCGGAGUCCGUUCGUAAAACAGCCAUAACUUUCGUAUACGAACUCCGAUUUUGGCGUUCUAUAUAUCAAAAUCGAACAGAAAAAAUUUUUGGGUCUGUCUAUGCCCGCCAUUGUGGGUUCGACAAAUUUAGAAUCCCCAAAUUCGCCUCUGAAGUUUGAGUUUUCACCUCCUAAAGUUUUCUUUAUAUUUUUCGCAAUCUUCAAAACUUUCCACAGGCCACGUCUUU